UGAUCCCAGCACACGGGCUAAACCAGGGCCCAGUGAUCCCAGCACACGGGCUGAACCAGACUCCUGAGAAAUGAAUGCAUCCACCAAUAGUGACUGUUGUGAAUGCAGCUGUCUGUGGUCCCAGGUUCUAUCUCUGUUCCUCAGACCUCAUUGGGACGUCGGUGGAGACUCGAACAAUCCACCAGCAAAAUCUCCUUCUACUUGGAGCCACCUAACAUGAAGCAUUCAUCGAGGCUUACUGACUAAGCACUGUGCCGUGGGCCAUGAGCAUCUCCGGCCUCAUAGACCUGACAUCUGUGGGAGACAAUCACAGAACUAUUUCACUGCAGCUGUGCUAAGUGUGCAGAUGAGAAGUGCAGGGUGCCCUGGGAGCUUCUAACUGAAGACCCUGACUGGUCUGGGGAGCCUGAAGAACCAGAAAACAGCUGGGGCUGGAGACCAAGAACGAGGAGGUCAGAGCCCCAGGGAGGCUGGAGAGUUGGCAAUACUGGAUUAUGCUGAGCCUUGAAAAUUCUAUGUGAAGAAUUUGGGUCUUUAUCAAAGGAGAAAUUGGAAGCCACUGUGGGAUUUUAAGCAGGGGGGAUAAUGUGAUUAAUUUUAUAUUUAAACAUAUCACUGUGGUUGCCAUUUAGAAGUGGUUUGGAGAUGGAGCCUGGAAGGCCAAGAAUCAGUGGAGAAUCUGUUGCAAUGUCCCAGAGGGGGUGUUCUGAAAAGAGAUGAUAAUGUUGGAGAAAGUGAGAAGUGAGUGGAGCUGUCUAGUGGUCACAUUAGCCGUACUUAUAUCUCUCAGUUUAAUCCUCUGCUAUUAUCUCUC
RNAcentral lists this long non-coding RNA (814 nucleotides) under Suricata suricatta (meerkat). RNAcentral describes it as "lncRNA (ENSSSUG00005009976.1)". Lineage: Eukaryota; Metazoa; Chordata; Mammalia; Carnivora; Herpestidae. The record is from RNAcentral.